This 253-nucleotide ribosomal RNA is filed under the name uncultured bacterium. RNAcentral describes it as "partial 16S ribosomal RNA". It matches the Rfam family "Bacterial small subunit ribosomal RNA", at positions 524 to 776 of the family's 1533-position model. The record is from RNAcentral.
UACGUAGGGUGCGAGCGUUGUCCGGAAUCAUUGGGCGUAAAGAGCGUGUAGGCGGCUUGUUAAGUCUUGCGUGAAAUCUCGGGGCUCAACCCCGAGCGGUCGUGAGAAACUGGCAGGCUAGAGUGCGGGAGAGGAGAGUGGAAUUCCUGGUGUAGCGGUGAAAUGCGCAGAUAUCAGGAAGAACACCCGUGGCGAAGGCGGCUCUCUGGAACGCAACUGACGCUGAGACGCGAAAGCGUGGGGAGCAAACAGG